Molecule: unclassified non-coding RNA, 313 nt
Filed under: Hevea brasiliensis (rubber tree)
Lineage: Eukaryota; Viridiplantae; Streptophyta; Magnoliopsida; Malpighiales; Euphorbiaceae
Source: RNAcentral
UAAGAGAAUGAAGAGAUAAAACGAUGAGAGAAUAGAAAUUGAAGGGGUGAUUAAGAGAACUCUCAUCUAAAAACCUUGAUUAUUGAGAGUUAAAUGUUUUAAUUUUGACAGUUUCAUUUUUAUUUCAUUAAUUGCAUUCUAAUAAAUGUGCACUAUCACUCAGCAGAAAUGAGUUUAAUGUCAUCAAUUGAUGUAAAAUUAUUAGGAGAAAAGCGACAAAAAUGACAUAGAAAAAAAAUCUAAUAGAGUGUCACUUGUCACUUUUAUGUGAAGUUGUUUUAGAGAUCUAACAGUUUUAUUAUAUGUAUAGAGA